RNAcentral lists this ribosomal RNA (253 nucleotides) under uncultured bacterium. RNAcentral describes it as "partial 16S ribosomal RNA". It matches the Rfam family "Bacterial small subunit ribosomal RNA", at positions 524 to 776 of the family's 1533-position model. The record is from RNAcentral.
UACGUAGGGUGCAAGCGUUGUCCGGAAUUAUUGGGCGUAAAGAGCUCGUAGGCGGUUUGUCGCGUCUGCUGUGAAAACUCGGGGCUUAACCCCGGGCCUGCAGUGGGUACGGGCAGACUAGAGUGCGGUAGGGGAGACUGGAAUUCCUGGUGUAGCGGUGAAAUGCGCAGAUAUCAGGAGGAACACCGGUGGCGAAGGCGGGUCUCUGGGCCGUAACUGACGCUGAGGCGCGAAAGCGUGGGUAGCAAACGGG